RNAcentral lists this unclassified non-coding RNA (224 nucleotides) under uncultured fungus. RNAcentral's name for it is "sequence contains ITS1, 5.8S rRNA gene". The stretch from base 176 to 224 matches the Rfam family "5.8S ribosomal RNA", at positions 1 to 49 of the family's 154-position model. The record is from RNAcentral. Lineage: Eukaryota; Fungi.
UCUCCGUUGGUGAACCAGCGGAGGGAUCAUUACUGAGUGAGGGCCUCCGGUCCGACCUCCAACCCUUUGUGAACCAACACUGUUGCUUCGGGGGCGACCCUGCCUUUCGGGCAGUGCGCCCCCGGAGGCCAUUAAACACUGCAUCAUUGCGUCGGAGUUAAAGUAAAUUAAACAAAACUUUCAACAACGGAUCUCUUGGUUCCAGCAUCGAUGAAGAACGCAGC